ACAAAAAAGCUUCAAAGAGUUUAGCGAGAACUUUUUUUUUUUUUUUUUCUAUUUACACAAUGGAGAGAAAAAAACUGGGGAUGGAUACAGUUGAACACACUGCCUCUACAAUCCUGGUCGUACAAAUAGUGACUAAGAAUUAAAAAGAAAGGACUCUUUCUAUUCCAUACUGGAGCUUUGGUUGUUUACAAACCACAUGGAUAUCUGUGGGUGCAGUUUUUUUUGUUGGUUUUAAUUUUGUUCUUUUUGUUCCCACAUAAGACGGGUGGGGUUUGCAAGUGCGCUUCUGCCAUAUGGACAUUGAGUGGUGUUGGGGUUUUUUUUUAAGGAAGAGUGGCAGGUAUCACAAGAACAUGAACAAGAUCCUCUAACCGGACCUUUGUAUGUGUGAUCGUGGAUUCUGAGACUUAAUCAACCACGGAGCGGAGGCGGGAAAAUCAAGGAUGUGCUCUGUUUUGUGGAGAACGGAGUGCAUAACCCUAGAGGGAACUGAGAGGGCGAAAUAGUACACCUGGUUAGUGCACCUGUCUUCACCUCAACCCCUCAUAAGCACUCACGCCCUGCCCCUCACCAACUCACCUAUGCACUUUUGUUCAUUCAAGCUGUGAGGUACCAUUUUGGGGAUGGGAGCACAAUUACAACAGGAGGAUUGCUACGACUUUGACAAAGUCACUGAAAAGAUAUUCCCAAACUGAAAAUAAGCGACUCGAGGAGUACGUCUUCUCCCACCUCCUGUGUAUAUAACCAUAUUUUUGUAUUAUCUUUCAGAGUAGAAAGAAAAAUUUGCAAAUGGAUGAAGGAAAAUUCAUGAGACGUUGAUAAUAUGGAGGGAAAACGUUCUUCAAGAAAACCAAUCUUUUGAAUAUAGUUUGCGAUUGACUCGCUGAGAGUUUCCCUUAUUUUGCCAGUAACCCUGAAAUAAUCGGGGAUGGAAGAGAGAGAAAAAAAAAAAAAAAAAAAACCAUGGACUGAGGUGUUGGACAUGCUGCAGUGGCUCCAAGACUGACUGAUAGUUACUUAUCAAAAUGGAUGCUGCAGUCGCUACAAAGAGCCCACGCCAAGAGUGUUAGAUCAACAUGCACAGUAAAGAGGCAGCCAUGGGUUUGAAGAGCUGCUGGCGAGGAUGCUUCUACUUUGUGCCCCAACCCGAUGACUGCCUUGAGAGCUGUAGAGUGACUGAAGGAAGAAAAAUCUUUGGCAAUGGAGUCUGGCUGUGCUUUAUUUGCUGCCCUCUGCAUGGAGGAUCUAAUCUACAAGCCAACCCAUGAACCAGUUAUCCCUAAACCUGUCCCUUUUUUGAACUUAAAUCCUAAGAAACUUUUCAGUCUUGACCUCGGACUGGGAACGCCAUUGGCAUUAUCAGUUGAACAGUUACCGGAUGAAGUUGCAGGUUUCUCGACCAUGGAGCCCAUCUGUGUUGGAAGCGUAAGGUUUGGGAUUUGAUCGGGCGCUCUCCGGCGAGCGAGAUAAAAAGAGGCACGUAUUGCCCAGAUGUCAUCACCCACCUCGGCCUGAAACACUCAGGUGGUUGCGUGGAGGUCUUCUAACCAGCGGGACAGAAGACCUGCCCAGACGUCAGGGACCGAGAGCCGUGUUGGGUUUCGAUGGACGUGGCUGGAUUACACCUAAGUCCCCAGAAAUCCCUGCCGAUGUGGAACUGGAUGAACUGAAAUAAUUGUACAAAACAAAGACUUUUGAAACAUCGACAAAACACGAAUACGUAGCUACAUGUCACAUAGAUUCUAGAGUUGCAGACACACUACAUGCACACCUACAGCAAAAGCAACAGACAGUUACAGUGGCUCUCCUCUGGAACCACGUCUUCACACAUAACGGGGCUACAUACAAUAUCAAAUCCUACACAUUACAGACACACACACGCACGCACACACAAGCAUCAUCGCUCACCAAUAUAAACGCUGAGCUUUGUAAAUGUAAAAGUUUGUGUUUUGAUUUUUCUCUUAGUGGUUUUGAUUUAUUUCUCUGUUCAACAUGCCUUAAAUUGUAUAGUUCGGUCUUGAACGGCUAACUGAAAAUGUUUAAGUUGGAAACCACCUCCUUAACUGUCCUCUAAAGUCAAAGAAAGAAAUUAGCUUUCUACAAGACUGUUUACUGUUGGCAGUCUGUUCUGUAUUAACUUGAUACGUGUACAUCUGAUCACCAUGAACGUUACUAUUUUGCUACAGAAUAGAGCAGCAACAGUCUUUUGAUUAAUCAGAUUUUGCUGGUGGUUAGCUUUUGUUGCCCUUUUGGUUUCCUUAAAAUGAAGAGUGGAUGUGUUCAGAUUUCCUGUUUAGAUUAUUGCUGAAGGUGCAGGCUUAAAGGGCUGAAGUCUGUACUGUCUGGAGCUGAGCUGACAGGGUGGGACGCACAGAAUUGGCUUAAAGCACAGACUUGUUGCUGUGUGCUAACUAUUGUUGGAUAUACUGCUCUAGGCAAAACUGAACCAGAGUGGCGGGUCCUCGUUAAAGAGAUACAAGUUGGGGCUUUUUGGUCAAAGUUUUUACACUCCGGUGGACUUAAAUGUUUUGGAUCAACUAGGUACUUUUUAUAGUUUAAGAUGUUAAAUCAGGCUUGUAAGAGGCAAGAUUGUAAGAGCAAGCUUGCAUGAUUUGUAAUAUUUGUGGGUUUUGACACUAAACCUUAAGGCGGGUCACAGCUUGGCCCAGAUUGCUUUAGCUCUGUCUGUGCACCAGGUAGUACUGCUGACCAUUUCUGAUGGCGCUGAGUAGAUAUUGUCUGAUCAGUUGCGGUGUUAUCUGAAAGGAAAUUCUAUGUUCAGGAAAUUUGAAACUUGUUCCAUGUAUGUAUAUUGAUUGGAUUGGAAAGAUUCAUGCUUUUAGUCAACCAGUAGUUAUCUUUGUAUCCUCGAUAACUAAACAAUGAUGUUUUUAAACCAAAUGGCAACUGAUAUUCUGUGAAUACCUUCAACUUAGACUUGUGGUUUUGGUGGAUAGUUACCUGCUAUAGCUAACUGUGUAAGCUGCCGUAGGCACCGUAGGCUCCAGUAUGUCUUAACUGUUGAAUUGAUACUAAAUGGUUAAGCUUAUUGUUAUCAGUUGCCAAAUCAAAGAAAUUGACUUUAACCAUAUGAUGAUACUAUCAAGUCUCUUAUUUGUGAAUGACUUUAGAAAUACCUGUGUUUGACAUUUUUAAAAGCGGAUAUUGUGCAGUAUUAGUUGUUGGUCAGUCAGUCUGUCUACAAAAAGUCAAACAAGGUUGUUUGCGCUAUGCAAGCUUUUAUGAUUAGAUAAACUGCGAUGUUGUGUUGUCAAAAAGCCCUGGAUGUUUGGUUGCAUCCUUUGAAAAGAUCCUGUCACGCUCUGCCCACUUAACUGUAUGGAGUUGAUCAUCUGGUUUAUUUGAGCUCUGGUAACUAUAGUUUCAACAAUAUUGGCCUAAAAGAUAUAAUGAAAGUUUUUUUUUUUUUUUUCCCCCCCAGUCAGCUCAGCUCCUUUGCUUAAUAAGUCUUUGAAUGUUGUUAAAAUAGCAGCAUACAUGUACAAGUUUUGGAAAAGAACAACUGCAAGAUGUGUAAAUAGUUUGGCUUUGAAGAACAAAAUAAAUACUAAAUAAAGG
Perca flavescens (yellow perch) is the source of this 3579-nucleotide long non-coding RNA. RefSeq lists it as uncharacterized. The record is from RefSeq and is a predicted model, not a curated record. NCBI's taxonomy places the organism in Eukaryota, Metazoa, Chordata, Actinopteri, Perciformes, Percidae. The transcript has 2 exons.